This is a non-coding RNA of Colletotrichum acutatum, 110 nucleotides long. Lineage: Eukaryota; Fungi; Ascomycota; Sordariomycetes; Glomerellales; Glomerellaceae. The record is from the annotation of a RefSeq genome assembly.
GGUCUGGUGGUGUAGUUGGUUAUCACGUCAGUCUAACAGCUCGAAAGAGUCUCUCAUGCCUCUCUCGUCUGCCACACUGAAGGUCUCCGGUUCAAGUCCGGGCUAGAUCA